CUCACUAGGACUUUUAAGUGCUCUGCUGGA
This 30-nucleotide non-coding RNA is filed under the name Homo sapiens (human). The record is from RNAcentral. Lineage: Eukaryota; Metazoa; Chordata; Mammalia; Primates; Hominidae.